This 401-nucleotide RNase P RNA is filed under the name Candidatus Falkowiibacteriota bacterium. Its description in RNAcentral is "RNase P RNA component class A". It matches the Rfam family "Bacterial RNase P class A". Rfam says of the family: Ribonuclease P (RNase P) is a ubiquitous endoribonuclease, found in archaea, bacteria and eukarya as well as chloroplasts and mitochondria. Its best characterised activity is the generation of mature 5'-ends of tRNAs by cleaving the 5'-leader elements of precursor-tRNAs. Lineage: Bacteria; Candidatus Falkowiibacteriota. The record is from RNAcentral.
CGGGAUAAGCGGGCAAUCGCUCUUUUUUGUAAUUUUUAUUACAAAAAGGGGAGGAAAGUCCGGACUCCAGGCUUAUUUUAUAAGCAAGACGAUAGUGGGUAACGCCCACCGAAGCGCUUAAAUUAUUUUUAGGAGCUUUAGGGAUAGUGCCACAGAGACAAUUCUAAUCCUGGAAAUUUUGACAGGAUAAAAGGUGAAAAGAUAUUGGAUGUUUCCAUCAGGAAGCUACCGAUUUCGGCCUCCGGUGACGGAGAUGCCGUGGUAAACCCUAUCAGGAGCAAGAGCAAAGUUUUAUUCAUUUUUUGAAUAAAAUAAAAAGUAGCUCGCCCGAGUUUAUCAGUAAUGAUAAACCUAGAUAAAUGAUUGCUAGAACAGAAUCCGGCUUAUGGCUGUCCCGAUAA